UACGGAGGAUGCGAGUGUUAUCCGGAUUCAUUGGGUUUAAAGGGUGCGUAGGCGGAAUAUUAAGUCAGCGAUGAAAUCCUGCAGCUUAACUGUAGAACUGUCAUUGAUACUGGUAUUCUUGAAUGCAGUUGAGGUAGGCGGAAUGUGUAAUGUAGCGGUGAAAUGCUUAGAUAUUACACAGAACACCGAUUGCGAAGGCAGCUUACUAAACUGUGAUUGACGCUGAGGCACGAAAGCGUGGGGAGCAAAC
RNAcentral lists this ribosomal RNA (250 nucleotides) under uncultured bacterium. RNAcentral's name for it is "partial 16S ribosomal RNA". It matches the Rfam family "Bacterial small subunit ribosomal RNA", at positions 524 to 773 of the family's 1533-position model. The record is from RNAcentral.